This 253-nucleotide ribosomal RNA is filed under the name uncultured bacterium. Its description in RNAcentral is "partial 16S ribosomal RNA". It matches the Rfam family "Bacterial small subunit ribosomal RNA", at positions 526 to 779 of the family's 1533-position model. The record is from RNAcentral.
CGGAGGGUGCAAGCGUUAUCCGGAUUUAUUGGGUUUAAAGGGUCCGUAGGCGGAUCUGUAAGUCAGUGGUGAAAUCUCAUAGCUUAACUAUGAAACUGCCAUUGAUACUGCAGGUCUUGAGUAAAGUAGAAGUGGCUGGAAUAAGUAGUGUAGCGGUGAAAUGCAUAGAUAUUACUUAGAACACCAAUUGCGAAGGCAGGUCACUAUGUUUUAACUGACGCUGAUGGACGAAAGCGUGGGAGCGAACAGGAUU